RNAcentral lists this ribosomal RNA (320 nucleotides) under uncultured eukaryote. Its description in RNAcentral is "partial 18S ribosomal RNA". It matches the Rfam family "Eukaryotic small subunit ribosomal RNA", at positions 1470 to 1796 of the family's 1831-position model. The record is from RNAcentral.
CCCCUAGAUGUUCUGGGCCGCACGCGCGCUACACUGAACAGUUCAACAAGUCUUAACCUUGGCCGAUAGGUCUGGGUAAUCUUUGAACGCUGUUCGUGAUUGGGAUAGACCUUUGCAAUUAUGGGUCUUCAACGAGGAAUUCCUAGUAAACGCAAGUCAUCAGCUUGCAUUGAUUACGUCCCUGCCCUUUGUACACACCGCCCGCCGCACCUACCGAUUGAAUGGUCCGGUGAAAUCUCGGGACGGCGGCUUGGUCGCUUGCGUCCGACUGCUGAAACUUGAUUAAACCAUAUCAUUUAGAGGAAGGUGAANUCGUAACA